This 843-nucleotide ribosomal RNA is filed under the name unidentified archaeon. RNAcentral describes it as "bacterial SSU rRNA". It matches the Rfam family "Archaeal small subunit ribosomal RNA", at positions 211 to 1054 of the family's 1478-position model. The record is from RNAcentral.
UGGUCUGCGGCCUAUCAGGUAGUAGUGGGUGUAGCGUACCUACUAGCCUACGACGGGUACGGGUUGUGAGAGCAAGAGCCCGGAGAUGGAUUCUGAGACACGAAUCCAGGCCCUACGGGGUGCAGCAGGCGCGAAAACUUUACAAUGCUGGCAACAGCGAUAAGGGAACCUCGAGUGCCAGGUUACAAAUCUGGCUGUCGAGAUGCCUAAAAAGCAUUUCAUAGCAAGGGCCGGGCAAGACCGGUGCCAGCCGCCGCGGUAACACCGGCGGCUCGAGUGGUAACCGUUAUUAUUGGGUCUAAAGGGUCUGUAGCCGGCCGGAUAAGUCUCUUGAGAAAUCUGGCAGCUUAACUGUCAGGCUUUCAGGAGAUACUGUCUGGCUCGAGGCCGGGAGAGGUGAGAGGUACUUCAGGGGUAGGGGUGAAAUCUUGUAAUCCUUGAAGGACCACCAGUGGCGAAGGCGUCUCACCAGAACGGACCUGACGGCAAGGGACGAAAGCUAGGGGCACGAACCGGAUUAGAUACCCGGGUAGUCCUAGCCGUAAACGAUACUCGCUAGGUGUCGGCCACGGUGCGACCGUUGUCGGUGCCGUAGGGAAGCCGUGAAGCGAGCCACCUGGGAAGUACGGCCGCAAGGCUGAAACUUAAAGGAAUUGGCGGGGGAGCACCACAACGGGUGGAGCUUGCGGUUUAAUUGGAUUCAACGCCGGAAAUCUUACCGGGACCGACAGCAAUAUGAAGGCCAGGCUGAAGACUUUGCCGGAUUAGCUGAAAGGUGGUGCAUGGCCGUCGUCAGUUCGUACUGUGAAGCAUCCUGUUAAGUCAGGCAACGAGCGAGACCCA